Molecule: long non-coding RNA, 156 nt
Organism: Sinocyclocheilus rhinocerous
Lineage: Eukaryota; Metazoa; Chordata; Actinopteri; Cypriniformes; Cyprinidae
Exons: 3
Source: RefSeq, a predicted model, not a curated record
CCAGUGCCUCUCCAUGAAAUCAUUGUUGCAUCCCUGGACCAGAGCAGAGCUAAUUUGCUAGCCGGCAGCUAGCUCUAACAUUCAGAGCGUCAAACAAACACAUAUCAGUUCAUCCACACAGCACUGUAAUAAUCCAUGUAUAUUUACUGUAUAUUU